CCUACGGGAGACAGCAGUGAGGAAUAUUGGUCAAUGGACGAGAGUCUGAACCAGCCAAGUAGCGUGAAGGAUGACUGCCCUAUGGGUUGUAAACUUCUUUUAUAAAGGAAUAAAACGAGGCACGUGUGCCUUUUUGCAUGUACUUUAUGAAUAAGGAUCGGCUAACUCCGUGCCAGCAGCCGCGGUAAUACGGAGGAUCCGAGCGUUAUCCGGAUUUAUUGGGUUUAAAGGGAGCGUAGAUGGGUUGUUAAGUCAGUUGUGAAAGUUUGCGGAUCAACCGUAAAAUUGCAAUUGAUACUGGCAGUCGUGAGUACAGUUGAGGUAGGCGGAAUUCGUGGUGUAGCGGUGAAAUGCUUAGAUAUCACGAAGAACCCCGAUUGCGAAGGCAGCUUACUAAACUGUGACUGACAUUGAUGCUCGAAAGUGUGGGUAUCAAACAGGAUUAGAUACCCGAGUAGUC
Molecule: ribosomal RNA, 460 nt
Filed under: uncultured bacterium
Lineage: Bacteria
Description: partial 16S ribosomal RNA
Rfam family: Bacterial small subunit ribosomal RNA
Source: RNAcentral